This is a non-coding RNA of Nylanderia fulva, 971 nucleotides long. Lineage: Eukaryota; Metazoa; Arthropoda; Insecta; Hymenoptera; Formicidae. The record is from RefSeq and is a predicted model, not a curated record.
CGAUAGACAAGAAGAUAGAUGCGGACUAAUGGGAAAGUACAGUCAAGACAACGACGACGACGACGACGACGAGAUGAUCCGCCGCCGACGUGACGUAUACACAUCGACUGCGGAAGAUCGCGUACAACGCGAACUUCCGGAGGACGUGGUGAUGGUGGUGGUUGCGAAGUAGUGGUGGUAAAGGAGCGGUUGUCACAAUCGUCAAUGAUGACGCAAACCCGAUGGCAGACACGUUGCGUUGCGCGAGCAGUUCGAGGGAACGAACUGGCAGAGCUAGGCGGAGUCGCACUGAUAAAUGGAACCGAUAUACGAGAUCUCCGAGGCACUCCUUCCUCGUGUACCUCGUGCACAGACGCGGAGCGACUCUCUCUCUCUCUCUUUCUGUCCUUCCCCUCUUUCACUUCUGUCUCCCUCUUUCUCUCUCCUUCUUGCUCCGCGACCGACUGACAACUGACAAUUGUCGAGGCACGAAUGAAUGAACAAGACGGUACAUUAUUCUUUAAACCUGAGGUUCGAAAAAGAUAACUUGCAAGUGGUACGGAUCACGCGAUGUGUGUCGACGAUAAAUCAAAUCUAAGAAAAAGAAAACAAUACACAUUUAAUUCGCAGAAAUGUUGCAUCGUUAUCUCGUCGAGCAUCUUUUAAGCGAAGAAUGACGAAUUAUAUGGAGAUAUCUCACAAGGUACAAUGAAUUUUUUUCAAAAUAAAAAAACCAAGGUUAUAGGAGGAAUAGGAUGGCCGAUAGAAAAUUGCAUUAAAAUAACUGAAAUUUACAAAAGAGAAGAAUUAAGAAAAGAAUUUCAUUUUCUUUCACAGUCGAUUAUAUGGCGUUUAUUUAUUUUACAUAUACAUAUAUAUUUAUAGCAACUCAUGAAAUCCUGUAUACGAUAAUUAUAAUACACAGUAAUGUACUGUCUUGCCUAAAAAUAUACUUUAAGAGCGCCAAAUAAAUAAUGCUCUAUUCCUCCUUC